GAUGAACGCUGGCGGCGUGCCUAAUACAUGCAAGUCGAGCGAACGGACGAGAAGCUUGCUUCUCUGAUAUUAGCGGCGGACGGGUGAGUAACACGUGGAUAACCUACCUAUAAGACUGGGAUAACUUCGGGAAACCGUAGCUAAUACCGGAUAAUAUUUUGAACCGCAUGGUUCAAAAGUGAAAGACGGUCUUGCUGUCACUUAUAGAUGGAUCCGCGCUGCAUUAGCUAGUUGGUAAGGUAACGGCUUACCAAGGCAACGAUGCAUAGCCGACCUGAGAGGGUGAUCGGCCACACUGGAACUGAGACACGGUCCAGACUCCUACGGGAGGCAGCAGUAGGGAAUCUUCCGCAAUGGGCGAAAGCCUGACGGAGCAACGCCGCGUGAGUGAUGAAGGUCUUCGGAUCGUAAAACUCUGUUAUUAGGGAAGAACAUAUGUGUAAGUAACUGUGCACAUCUUGACGGUACCUAAGCAGAAAGCCACGGCUAACUACGU
Molecule: ribosomal RNA, 496 nt
Filed under: uncultured bacterium
Lineage: Bacteria
Description: partial 16S ribosomal RNA
Rfam family: Bacterial small subunit ribosomal RNA
Source: RNAcentral